RNAcentral lists this ribosomal RNA (801 nucleotides) under Enterococcus durans. Its description in RNAcentral is "bacterial SSU rRNA". It matches the Rfam family "Bacterial small subunit ribosomal RNA", at positions 75 to 853 of the family's 1533-position model. Lineage: Bacteria; Bacillati; Bacillota; Bacilli; Lactobacillales; Enterococcaceae. The record is from RNAcentral.
GGAGCUUGCUCCACCGGAAAAAGAAGAGUGGCGAACGGGUGAGUAACACGUGGGUAACCUGCCCAUCAGAAGGGGAUAACACUUGGAAACAGGUGCUAAUACCGUAUAACAAUCGAAACCGCAUGGUUUUGAUUUGAAAGGCGCUUUCGGGUGUCGCUGAUGGAUGGACCCGCGGUGCAUUAGCUAGUUGGUGAGGUAACGGCUCACCAAGGCCACGAUGCAUAGCCAACCUGAGAGGGUGAUCGGCCACAUUGGGACUGAGACACGGCCCAAACUCCUACGGGAGGCAGCAGUAGGGAAUCUUCGGCAAUGGACGAAAGUCUGACCGAGCAACGCCGCGUGAGUGAAGAAGGUUUUCGGAUCGUAAAACUCUGUUGUUAGAGAAGAACAAGGAUGAGAGUAACUGUUCAUCCCUUGACGGUAUCUAACCAGAAAGCCACGGCUAACUACGUGCCAGCAGCCGCGGUAAUACGUAGGUGGCAAGCGUUGUCCGGAUUUAUUGGGCGUAAAGCGAGCGCAGGCGGUUUCUUAAGUCUGAUGUGAAAGCCCCCGGCUCAACCGGGGAGGGUCAUUGGAAACUGGGAGACUUGAGUGCAGAAGAGGAGAGUGGAAUUCCAUGUGUAGCGGUGAAAUGCGUAGAUAUAUGGAGGAACACCAGUGGCGAAGGCGGCUCUCUGGUCUGUAACUGACGCUGAGGCUCGAAAGCGUGGGGAGCAAACAGGAUUAGAUACCCUGGUAGUCCACGCCGUAAACGAUGAGUGCUAAGUGUUGGAAGGGUUUCCGCCCUUCAUUGCUGCAGCU